CUUGCACAGGCAAGCACUGCCACCAGACAUCUUGCUUUUUAUUUCUUCUUUCACUUGUUGGGUGCAUUUCCUGAGAGUCAAGCUAUGGGAUCCCGCUCCAGGAGUGGUGCUUUUUUGCUUUUUCAGUUGGGACCACUUGGUCCUUUUUCAGUUUCAGGACAACUGUGUCCCCUUCGGGGCUAGGCCCCUGGCAACUCCCACGGGCCGAUGUGCAUCCGGAGAGGAGCUUUUUGCCAGUUUUUCACUUGCCUCACCCAUGGGAAAUGCAUAGAGGAACCUUUCUGGUUGCAGCCAACAAGCAGAUGUGUCACUCUAUCACAAGACAGAGCUCUGUGAAGGAUUCUCUGUAGAGAACUUCUCAGCACAAGGAUUUCAUUCUCCUGAGAACACGCUCAAGUGUCCAUAUGGUUCUUAAGAAGACACUGACCUCUUUGAAACCAGAACUGAACGGUCCAGUGAACUGGGGGUGACUUGUGCUUGCACAAAUUCUUUUCAACUCUGGUUCUCAGAAAGGCUAAAUGGAAAGAGUCGUUGGAAGAUUCAAAAUAGCAUCUGUCACAUUCCAAUCUUGUGAGAUAAUGCAUGGUCUUGCACAGGCAUUAGAGAGGAAGACAGAUAAUCUGGGGCUCUGUUUACUGUGAUUUAUUAGCUUCUAAAGACGCAAAGGCUAUAAAAAUAAUUCACAUCUAAGAAUUUACUGAUGUAUGUUUCUACCCUGUUGGACUCUGUUAAAUUGAAAGUAACAGUUAAAUCCUAGGAUAUGGGUGAGUACUGGAGGAAGGCCUUCCUUCUUCCAGGACUGAGCAGAGUCUGUAUUAAAAGAUUGUCGUCUUUUAACUCCUUUUGUCUAAGAGGUAAAGCAGCGUUGUCAGGAGCUUUCAGAUGGCCCACAACUUCCUACAGCCUCCUUUGGUACGCACCAGUGAAAAUUUCCCAUAAGAAUUGAGGUCAUUUUUUAACCUCUGGAAUUCUCAAUGUGUUUUCUUCAAGGCAGCUGCCUUCUUCUGAGCCUCUUAUAAAUUAGCUGUGUAUUUUCUGGGAUCAACCACAUCCUCAGAAAACGGACUGCAGCUCAUCCAGUUAACCUGACCCCUGUCUUUCCCUCUCCACAGACAGCUGUGUGAAGAGGUCUCAGGAGCAAUAACUCACAUAGAGGCUCUUCUGUGGCCCCAAAUUUGGACAUGUUUUUGCUUGAGUAUUCACUGGCUUCAGCAAUUUGGCAAAUAUAGGACAGGACUCCUAAUUCCAUGAGGUCAAAUACCAUCCCCAAACUAAAACUGAAAAAUUAACUGACUCAAGGAAAGGGCUUUGGGAUAAACCAAGUGUCCUGAGGUCACUGUCAUAGAGGCACCCUCUCUUCUCAUCACUCAUUUCCCUUGGGUGACACUUUAAUCAUGCCAUUUUCAAGGAUUUAAUAAGAAUCCCUGUCAGUAGCCCAAGUUUAAGACUUCAGGGAACACUGAAAAUUCCUGCCCUCCCUCCCAGUACAAAUGAAAUGUAAGAACAAAUAGGAUGUUAGAGACAAGAUGUGUCCUGAGGACAGCCUCAAGACAAUAGCACCUUUGGUGUAGAACAGAGACUGUAGACUGUGGACUAGGGACUAGAGAAAUGGUUCAUCAGUUAAGUGCCAUGGCUCUUCUUCCAGAGGACUCUGGAGUUUCCAGCACCCACAUGGUGGCUCACAACUGUCUGUACCUCCAGUCCUGGGGGAUCCGAUGCCCUUCUUCUGGGUCUGUAGGCACCAGACACAAACAUGGUAAACAAACACAUAUCCAGGCAAAAUACCCAUACACAUAAAAGAAAUAAACAUUUUAAAAGUAGAUUAUAGACUAAAGGCCAUGAGGGCACUGAUCAUGCUAAUUUGGUACAAUAAAAGUAUCAAAGCCAGGCAUUGGUGGCGCAUGCCUUUAAUCCCAGUACUCGGGAGGCAGAGGCAGGCAGAUCUCUGUGAGUUCGAGGCCAGCCUGGUCUCCAGAGUGCCAGGAUAUGCUCCAAAGCUACACAGAGAAACCCUGUCUCGAAAAAAAUUUAAAAAAAGUAUCAAAGUUAUGGGCUUUUGAUUUUUACUUGAGACUAGUGUAUCUAUGUGUGAAAUCAUGACGUGUAGAAUUUACUUUUAAGAAGUCCAGCAGAAAAGUCAGUGAGAUGGCUCAGUGAGUCAAGAUGGUUGCUGCCAAGACUGAGUACAAUCCCUGGGUCCCAUAUGAUAGAAGGAGAAUUGUCAUUCUCUGGCCUCAUCUACAUGCCAUGCACACCUACAAUAAAUAAAUACUGUGUUUUUGAAAUUCCAGCAUAAAAUGGUAAGAUGACAGAUGAUAUAAAAUUGGUACAGUGUUGAUACCAGAAAAUGUAAACAAAACAGUAUGAGAGCUUUUCCUAGUGUUUGGAUGAUUUUAAACAAUUAGAUUUGCACAAAAGUUGGAUGAUAAAUGCCCUGGCCCUGGAUUAUAGUUAGAGUCCUCCAGGUUCUAUAAAUGGAAAGAGAUUUGUUUGCUGUCUCUAUGACUAAAGAACAUAACUAGUUUUUCUGAGGAACAUCAGGGUCAAUUGGGAAACUUUCUGGCUAUUGGACUUUUACUUACCCUAACAAAGGCUGGGCCUCACUAAUAAUGGCCAACCUGAGAGUAGCAGCUGCCUGAAGACAAGUUGCAGCUAGGGAAGCUGCACACACAGUUCUGCCUGCAGAGAACCCAGAAUUCCUCCAUGCCACAGUGGGAGAAAGAAACUGCAAAUGCAUCGAAUUUUAAAAUGUAUGGAUAAGGAAGCUAUUUUUUAAAAUUGCAUUAAUUUGCAUAUUUACACAGGGGCAGUACAAAUGCUCUUGUACGAGUGGAGGCCAAAAGGACAGCGCUAUGGGAGUGGGGUUCUCGCUCUACCAUGUGGAGCUCAGUGAUUGAACUCAGGUAAUAAUGCUUGAUUGUAGGAGAUGCAUCUUUGUGCUCACAGAUAAGCACUAGGGGAGCCUAGGAUGUUAAACACACAGGAUUGUUCCUUCAAAAGGAAGGAAUGCAUAAACUGUUAUCCACUGCGCAUAGGCUGGGAGUCGACAUGUUUAGUAGCCUUUUGCUCUACCUGUGUGGCUAAAGACUUUUCCAGCACCAGACUCUUAGCAUAAGUUUGCUUUUCUCAGUCAAUCUAUAGAACCUAAUUUAUGGAGUUUACAAUGAGUUUCAGUAUAGUUACAUUAAAUGUGUAUUUAGCUUACUUUGCUCCUCAAGGAGAUUUAUGUUUGCUUUGUUGCAAUGCAGGAUUGAGUUAAUUAUCACCAGAAUAAAUUUUCACCAAAUCCUGUUAUGCUUAAAUAUGCCUAAAUUAACCAUUGGGGUCAGGCUCCUGAAGGUUGAACCAAUGCUUAAUACUCAAUCCUGUUGAACUUACAUCAGAAGGAUCAUGUCAUUGCAGGCUGUAUGGAGGCCUCAGGGACCCCCCACACUUAGUGACAAGUGUCUUUAUCUACUAAGCAACUCCCUGGCCUAAAAUUAUUUUAUGAUUCAAAUCUCAACAGAGAAAGUGCUACGUAUUGUUAAGGACGUGCAACAAGCAGAUGUCUGGAACAUUAGUCUGAGGAUGUUAACUGGAUCAACUAUUUUGAACAAUAUCAAAAUAGCCAGGUGGUGGUGUUGCACGCCUUUAAUCCCAGCACAGAAGCAGGCAGAUCUCUGUGAGUUCAAGGCCAGCCUAGUCUACAGAGCGAGUUCCAGGACAGGCUACAAAGCUGCAUAGAGAAACCCUGUCUCAAAAGCAAACAAACAAAAAAACCCCAAUACAUACAUACAUACAUACAUACAUACAUACAUACAUAUAUACAUACAUACACACACACACACACAAACACAUACAGCUAUGACUGAGCAAUCCCAUUUCUGUGUAUAUACCUGUGUCCAUUUAUUCUCUAGUUCAAAAACCAGAAGGGAAAACUAUACACAUGUAUGUUAGCAGAGAAAACUGAAAAACUAAGAUAUAUUUCACAACAUUGACUACUAUACAAUAAGGAAAAGAAAUAAUCCCCUCUUGCUCACAUAGUGUGAAUGCAGCUCACAAACAAUCCUUGAUGAAAGAACUAAGGCUCAAACAAGGUACAUCUUGUGAGCUACUAAUCAUUCCUUUCUGUGGAUGUAAUAAUUGGCACUUUUAAUUCUAAUGGGACAAAACAGCUUAAAAAAAAAUCAAAAGACUUAGCCAGUCAUGGUGACACAUGCCUGUAACCCCAGCACUUGGGAAGUAGAGGAAGGGGGAUCAGAAGUGCCUAUCCUAAAACAAAUGCAACCAAAACAAGAUGGCUCUCAGCAAGUAAAGUCCUUGCCACACAAGCAUAAAGACUGGAGCAUAGAGCCCCAGCACCCAUGUAAAAUGCCAGGUGGAGGUGGUGCCCUGGCCAUAAUCCCAGCACAGAAGUCAGAGACAGGCAACCUCAGAGCAAGCUGGAUAACCCAACUAGCAAACAGGGUGCUCUACGUUCAGAAAGGGACACUGGCCCAACAUAUAAGGGAGACAGAAAUCUAGGAAGACACUCAACAUCAGCCUUAGGCCUGGACACACAUGUAUACAUGCACUUGCACAUACAGGUGUGCCCCCAUACACACACACACACACACACACACACACACACACACACACACACACACACAGCACACACUUGCACAUUCAAAACCGAAACAAACAAAAAACAGAUAAUGACUUGUGUAACCAGGGUAGGUAGGCACAGUGGAAGAGACGGCAGGUGUGAUGGGAUCUAGGGUUUAGAAGGUAUUUCCUUUCUAGCUAGUCCUUCCGUAGUCUUACAGCAGUAAGAACCUGUCUCAAACAACCCUCCAAAAAAGAAUAGUGAACAAACAAUUAUAAUCAUGUCUGAAGAGGAAACAGAAAAUUUAUGAUCUUAUUAUACUUAUGAUAGUAAGUACAUUCUUUGCAAGUAAAUAGAUCAAGUGGCACUAUUUCUGUCACCAUUAUGAAUGAAAUGUGGCACUGAAGAUCAUUUUCUUCUCUAUCAGAUUUGGUCAUUAAGUUGUUACCUUGGUGGUUGACAAUACCUGACUGAGACAGAGCCAUGGGCGGGGCCUCGUUGCUGCAUAAAUAAGAGUGGAGGCUUGACAUUUCCCUUCUGUUGUUGGUCCUGUUGCCUAUGUGCUCCCUUAUCUAAUUUUUAUAAUAAUAUCUAUGUUAGACACUGCACAGGGAGCAGAGACAGAAAUCUCAGAAAUUCACCAGAUAGAUUUCCC
This 5219-nucleotide long non-coding RNA is filed under the name Cricetulus griseus (Chinese hamster). RNAcentral's name for it is "lncRNA (ENSCGRG00015029589.1)". Lineage: Eukaryota; Metazoa; Chordata; Mammalia; Rodentia; Cricetidae. The record is from RNAcentral.